GGUCCGUUGGUUAAGGGGUUAAGACACCGCCUUUUCACGGCGGUAACACGGGUUCGAAUCCCGUACGGACUA
Molecule: transfer RNA, 72 nt
Filed under: Streptococcus thermophilus
Lineage: Bacteria; Bacillati; Bacillota; Bacilli; Lactobacillales; Streptococcaceae
Also listed under: 2 other names
Description: tRNA-Glu
Rfam family: tRNA
About the family: Transfer RNA (tRNA) molecules are approximately 80 nucleotides in length.
Source: RNAcentral